This is a long non-coding RNA of Cyprinus carpio (common carp), 952 nucleotides long. RefSeq lists it as uncharacterized. The transcript has 3 exons. The record is from RefSeq and is a predicted model, not a curated record. Lineage: Eukaryota; Metazoa; Chordata; Actinopteri; Cypriniformes; Cyprinidae.
CCAAAGUGUCCAUCAGUUCCAGCACUUCGGUUUGGAACGACCAUUCAGUACGGUGGCCAUGAUUGUUUUCACUCCAAAUGCCCUUCAGAGGUCGAUAUAUCCCGUUUGGAAUGCACCGAAAGUCGAACAAAUAUUCUAACCAGAAUGCAUUGCUUUGGUGACCCCUGACAAGAAUGGGAGCUAUCCGAAAGAUAGAGAGUUUUGAGUACCAAAGCAAAGAAGACUGCAAAGCCCAGUACCUAAAGAAACCAAUACAAGCACAUCAAGUCCAGGUUUCUGUAGCAACAAAACAUCUAGCGGACAGUGUCAACAAGCUGCACAGAAAGUGCCUGGGUGAUGAAGAGACUUUCAAAGAAUGACACCACCAUUGAGAUGAGCCAGUAUGGUCAACCCAUACAUCAUAGUUAAGUAUGUUGAAACACCACUGGUGGCUACAACAAGAAACCAACCAACCAACACAAACCACCAGGGCAAGCCUUUCUGACAACACUUUUUGCCGGAAAACGGCAGACUUGGCCACAUGGUGAUGGAUAGUAAUGUCUACAAUGGACACGAGUGUUGUCACCGUACGACCACAACAGCUUGAAGUUGUCUAAUUCUCCCUGCUGCACUAAUAGUAGUACGGCUUUCCUCUGUGUAUACCUAUCCUUACAAGUACAAUUUUAGCAGGAUUAUUUGUGUCCCCUUCAAAAAUUGCUGUUGAGAAAUUUUUUGUUUAUUGUCCCCCCCCAACUGUUAGAUUAAAUUUACACCCCUGCUAUUGCCCUCUGUGGGGCUGGAGCUAUGGGUAUGUAGACCACUGACAGAACAGGAGGAGACAUGAGGUUCAAGUAGGUUCUUCAUGCCUUGGACCUGCAAUACAGCCUGGUUGUAGCUGUCUGGAUUUGAGAAGGAUGAAGGUCCCAGCAGUCUCUGCUCUCUCUCCGCAUUUUGCAGUUGUUUGUAGAGAUAC